UACGGGGGGAGCAAGCGUUGUUCGGAUUUACUGGGCGUAAAGGGCGCGUAGGCGGUCGUGACAAGUCACUUGUGAAAUCUCCGGGCUUAACUCGGAACGGUCAAGUGAUACUGUCGGACUAGAGUACAGAAGGGGCAACUGGAAUUCUCGGUGUAGCGGUGAAAUGCGUAGAUAUCGAGAGGAACACCUGCGGCGAAGGCGGGUUGCUGGGCUGAUACUGACGCUGAGGCGCGAAGGUCAGGGGAGCAAACGGG
Molecule: ribosomal RNA, 254 nt
Filed under: uncultured bacterium
Lineage: Bacteria
Description: partial 16S ribosomal RNA
Rfam family: Bacterial small subunit ribosomal RNA
Source: RNAcentral